This 77-nucleotide transfer RNA is filed under the name Mesorhizobium sp. NK-1. Its description in RNAcentral is "tRNA-Ala". It matches the Rfam family "tRNA". From Rfam's summary of the family: Transfer RNA (tRNA) molecules are approximately 80 nucleotides in length. The record is from RNAcentral. Lineage: Bacteria; Pseudomonadati; Pseudomonadota; Alphaproteobacteria; Hyphomicrobiales; Phyllobacteriaceae.
AGGGGCCGUAGCUCAGCUGGGAGAUCGCCUGCUUUGCAAGCAGGAUGUCGUCGGUUCGAUCCCGUCCGGCCCCACCA